ACGGAGGGUGCAAGCGUUGUCCGGAUUUAUUGGGUUUAAAGGGUGCGCAGGUGGUUUAUUAAGUCAGUGGUGAAAGACGGUCGCUCAACGAUUGCAGUGCCAUUGAAACUGGUAGACUUGAGUAAAGUAGAGGUGGGCGGAAUUGAUAGUGUAGCGGUGAAAUGCAUAGAUAUUAUCAAGAACUCCAAUUGCGUAGGCAGCUCACUUGGCUUUUACUGACACUCAUGCACGAAAGUGUGGGUAUCAAACAGG
This 252-nucleotide ribosomal RNA is filed under the name uncultured bacterium. RNAcentral's name for it is "partial 16S ribosomal RNA". It matches the Rfam family "Bacterial small subunit ribosomal RNA", at positions 525 to 776 of the family's 1533-position model. The record is from RNAcentral.